CAGUAGCCGCGGGAAUACGUAGGUCCCGAGCGUUGUCCGGAUUUAUUGGGCGUAAAGCGAGCGCAGGCGGUUAGAUAAGUCUGAAGUUAAAGGCUGUGGCUUAACCGUAGUACGCUUUGGAAACUGUUUAACUUGAGUGCAGAAGGGGAGAGUGGAAUUCCAUGUGUAGCGGUGAAAUGCGUAGAUAUAUGGAGGAACACCGGUGGCGAAAGCGGCUCUCUGGUCUGUAACUGACGCUGAGGCUCGAAAGCGUGGGGAGCGAACAGGAUUAGAUACCCCUGUAGUCCCUGUCUCUUAUACA
This 301-nucleotide ribosomal RNA is filed under the name uncultured bacterium. Its description in RNAcentral is "partial 16S ribosomal RNA". It matches the Rfam family "Bacterial small subunit ribosomal RNA", at positions 509 to 808 of the family's 1533-position model. The record is from RNAcentral.